GGCCAAUUCUACCUGUUAUCACGUCCAGGGAUAGGUCCAGUUUCAACAUAAUUUGGACGCUUUUCAGUCUGUGGUUCUCCAAGAUUCCAUCCUGCACCUCGUUUCCCAAUUGUCAUCCUACAAUUGUCAUCCUUCCCUGACAUUCAUCAUCUAGGGAACACUGAUCAGACACACAAUUCAGGUUUGAUAUCAAGAGGACCUGCACGCAUAAGUAUCAGAUAAUGUGGCUGUGUGUGACAAAUGGGAGUUGGAACAGAGGACUUAACAAAAAAUUGGGAAAAAAAUGCAGCUGCUGUGCACAUAAAGAAUAUGCAGCCUGAACUAGGCCUCAGGAGAAAAG
This is a long non-coding RNA of Symphalangus syndactylus (siamang), 340 nucleotides long. RefSeq lists it as uncharacterized. NCBI's taxonomy places the organism in Eukaryota, Metazoa, Chordata, Mammalia, Primates, Hylobatidae. The record is from RefSeq and is a predicted model, not a curated record.